Molecule: ribosomal RNA, 254 nt
Filed under: uncultured bacterium
Lineage: Bacteria
Description: partial 16S ribosomal RNA
Rfam family: Bacterial small subunit ribosomal RNA
Source: RNAcentral
UACGUAGGGUGCGAGCGUUAAUCGGAAUUACUGGGCGUAAAGCGUGCGCAGGCGGUUUUUUAAGACAGGCGUGAAAUCCCCGGGCUUAACCUGGGAACUGCGCUUGUGACUGGAAGGCUAGAGUACGGCAGAGGGGGGUGGAAUUCCACGUGUAGCAGUGAAAUGCGUAGAGAUGUGGAGGAACACCGAUGGCGAAGGCAGCCCCCCUGGGCCGAUACUGACGCUCAUGCACGAAAGCGUGGGGAGCAAACAGG